AGAAAAAUGUAAGAGUGAGAAAAUAUGACUAACAGGAACAGGAUGAUAGCUUAGAUAGCCGUACAGAAAGAAAACCAACAACCGAAUUAAAUACCCAUUUCUAGGAGGAUGUCGGGAAAAAAUAAUAAUGGACUAAUCCGAACCCAGAAAGC
Long non-coding RNA from Hibiscus syriacus, 152 nucleotides. RefSeq lists it as uncharacterized. The transcript is spliced from 2 exons. Lineage: Eukaryota; Viridiplantae; Streptophyta; Magnoliopsida; Malvales; Malvaceae. The record is from RefSeq and is a predicted model, not a curated record.